This is a long non-coding RNA of Salvia splendens (bonfire salvia), 909 nucleotides long. RefSeq lists it as uncharacterized. The record is from RefSeq and is a predicted model, not a curated record. The transcript is spliced from 4 exons. Lineage: Eukaryota; Viridiplantae; Streptophyta; Magnoliopsida; Lamiales; Lamiaceae.
GUAGAUGUAACUCCUAUAAGAAAAAAGGGAGCCAAGAAAGGUCAGGGCAUGGUUGAAAUAGUAGACAUAAAAUGCAGAAAUCCCAUCGCACACCGUCUAAAGAAACUCAGCUUCUCGAAACUACCUGACAGUAAUGCCUAAGAACACACACUUGGUAGGAGCCUCUUGCUUCCUCCUCUCUUGUUUCUCCUGGGAAUGGCGAUCACUGAAUCAAGCUUUGGUUUGAAGAACUCCCCUGUCAAAGGGAGUUUUUUGUGGCAUGGUUUCUUCAAGUUGCUUGCAUCGCCUAAAUUAAGGCGGCUGAAGUGGUCUAGUUCUUGCAUGAUGAGAGAUCCAACGGUACCUCUAGUCCCUAUCGCCACCGGAUCAGAUUUUGCUGCUUCUGUUUUUUCAGGUGCAGGGCCAAGACUAGGCGGUGUCAAGGUCGCCUUUUGUGGGAGAUGCAUCGUUGGAGACAAGGCCCCGUUGGAGGAAGGGCACUUGCUUAGGAUGUGAGUACCUUUAUCUCGAUCUAACGGAUGCUACAAGUGAAGGUUGAUUUUCCAGAAGGAAGGGCCGUUUCUAGAUCUUCCUCACUCAGCGCAGUCGCCACCACCUCAACCUUCGGGUCUGACAACUCGUGACUGCUGGAGCAACAGCACAUGCGGCGGACAACGAAAAGGAGCGAUGAUGCUCUCCCAGCGCCUGAAAGCGAUGUCGUUGUAUGUGUAUAAAAACGACGCCGUUUUAUGCAAUGCCGUCGAUUUGCCAAGUCAUGCUGGAGGCGUCCACGUAGGAUAAGUUUUUGCCGGAAAACUAUCGGGUCGGGUCGGGUCGAAUGAGAAAUUUACACAAUCCAGUAUAGUUCAUGACUUUUCAUGCAACAUUUAAAGUUCAAGGGAAAAACUAAACUAUUGUGAAAGUUCAUGA